AAGCCAGACUCCUACGGGAGGCAGCAGUGGGGGAUAUUGCACAAUGGGGGGAACCCUGAUGCAGCGACGCCGCGUGGGUGAAGGAGCGUUUCGGCGCGUAAAGCCCUAUCGGCAGGGAAGAGGGAGGACGGUACCUGACUAAGAAGCCCCGGCUAACUACGUGCCAGCAGCCGCGGUAAUACGUAGGGGGCAAGCGUUAUCCGGAUUUACUGGGUGUAAAGGGGGCGCAGACGGCAGCGCAAGCCAGGAGUGAAAGCCCGGGGCCCAACCCCGGGACUGCUCUUGGAACUGCGCGGCUGGAGUGCAGGAGGGGCAGGCGGAAUUCCUGGUGUAGCGGUGAAAUGCGUAGAUAUCAGGAGGAACACCAGUGGCGAAGGCGGCCUGCUGGACUGCGACUGACGUUGAGGCCCGAAAGCGUGGGGAGCAAACAGGAUUAGAUACCCUAGUAC
RNAcentral lists this ribosomal RNA (449 nucleotides) under uncultured bacterium. RNAcentral describes it as "bacterial SSU rRNA". It matches the Rfam family "Bacterial small subunit ribosomal RNA", at positions 328 to 793 of the family's 1533-position model. The record is from RNAcentral.